CAGUCGCCGCGGGAAUACGUAGGUGGCAAGCGUUGUCCGGAAUUAUUGGGCGUAAAGGGCUCGCAGGCGGUUUCUUAAGUCUGAUGUGUAAGCCCCCGGCUCAACCGGGGAGGGUCAUUGGAAACUGGGAAACUUGAGUGCAGAAGAGGAGAGUGGAAUUCCUCGUGUAGCGGUGAAAUGCGUAGAGAUGUGGAGGAACACCAGUGGCGAAGGCGACUCUCUGGUCUGUAACUGACGCUGAGGAGCGAAAGCGUAGGGAGCGAACAGGAUUAGAUACCCCGGUAGUCCCUGUCUCUUAUAC
Molecule: ribosomal RNA, 301 nt
Filed under: uncultured bacterium
Lineage: Bacteria
Description: partial 16S ribosomal RNA
Rfam family: Bacterial small subunit ribosomal RNA
Source: RNAcentral